RNAcentral lists this transfer RNA (76 nucleotides) under bacterium. RNAcentral describes it as "tRNA-Cys". It matches the Rfam family "tRNA". From Rfam's summary of the family: Transfer RNA (tRNA) molecules are approximately 80 nucleotides in length. Their secondary structure includes four short double-helical elements and three loops (D, anti-codon, and T loops). Further hydrogen bonds mediate the characteristic L-shaped molecular structure. tRNAs have two regions of fundamental functional importance: the anti-codon, which is responsible for specific mRNA codon recognition, and the 3' end, to which the tRNAs corresponding amino acid is attached (by aminoacyl-tRNA synthetases). tRNAs cope with the degeneracy of the genetic code in two manners: having more than one tRNA (with a specific anti-codon) for a particular amino acid; and 'wobble' base-pairing, i.e. permitting non-standard base-pairing at the 3rd anti-codon position. The record is from RNAcentral.
GGUGACAUAGCCAAGUUGGUUAAGGCCACGGUCUGCAAAACCGUUAUCAUGGGUUCGAGUCCCAUUGUCACCUCCA